AAACUAACAAGGAUUUCUCUGGUAGUGGCGAACGACCCAGGGAAUUAGCCCAGCACCGGAAUCCUGUAUCUUUGGGUAUUGGGAAUUGUGGGGUAAAGGUUGUGUCUUUAGAUGUUGAGUCUGCUCCAAAUUCACUUGAUUGUGAUGUUGUCCAGAGAGGGUGUUAGACCCGUUGGAGUAGAUUUCGGCUUCUAUUGAUGCUUCCUAUGAGUCGGAUUGUUUGAGAAUGCAGUCCAAAUGCGGUGGUAAACUCCAUCUAAGGCUAAAUACUUGUAUGAGUCCGAUAGCAAACAAGUACCGUGAGGGAAAGUUGAAAAGAACUUUGAAGAGAGAGUUAAAUAGUACGUGAAAUCGCUUAGAGGUAAACGAGUAGAGCCGAAACUGUCGGAUGGGAUUCAGUUGGGUGUACGAUGAUGAUUGGUCUGAUAACAACCACAAAAGGCAUUAUCGGAUCGAUAUGUUUGUUGUAUGCACAAUGCACUUUCUGUUCGAUGAAACUGUGACCAAUAGUGUCGUUUUUCUGUCGUAGCGGUGAAGGUGACCAGUUGCUUGCAAUUGGUUUUAUAGCUCGUUACAUGGUCAAAUGUGAUGUAUUGGUGAAUUGCAAUCAGUCAAUGUUGGUUCGGUGCUGUGUGUGUUGUUUGGUGGUAGACUACAUGUAGACUGUCAGCAAUGGCAUAUGUGAUGCUGUUAUCGAUAUAUUGUUUAAAUCCNNNNNNNNNNNNNNNNNNNNNNNNNNNNNNNNNNNNNNAACAUGGACCAAGGAGUUUUAUAUGAUCGCGAGUCAAAGGGCUAUACGAAACCCCACGGCGCAAUUAAUGUAAAGGUUUACUUUCGUGAACUGAGAUGUGACCUGUCUUGAUUAAAACCGGGACAGUGCAACAUCGACCCGUCUAAAGAUGUUCGCAUCUGGGCGGAGUUUGAGCGAUCAUAUAGAGACCCGAAAGAUGGUGAACUAUGCUUGUGCAGGUUGAAGUCAGAGGAAACUCUGAUGGAGGACCGCCGCGGUUCUGACGUGCAAAUCGAUCGUCGGACAUGAGUAUAGGGGCGAAAGACUAAUCGAACCAUCUAGUAGCUGGUUCCCUCCGAAGUUUCCCUCAGGAUAGCUGGCGUUUGUUGUCGUAGUUUUACCUGGUAAAGCGAAUGAUUAGAAGUAUUGGGGGCGAAAUGCCCUCAACUUAUUCUCAAACUUUAAAUGGGUUCGAUGUGUAGCUCGCUUAAUUGGAGUUGCACGUUGAAUACGAAUGCCUAGUGGGCCAUUUUUGGUAAGCAGAACUGGCGAUGUGGGAUGAACCAAACAUUUGGUUAAGGUGCCUAACAUCACGCUCAUGAGAUCCCACAAAAGGUGUUGGUUGAUACAGACAGCAGGACGGUGGACAUGGAAGUCGUCAUCCGCUAAGGAGUGUGUAACAACUCACCUGCCGAAUCAACCAGCCCUGAAAAUGGAUGGCGCUGUAGCGUGAGACCUAUACCGAAUCGGUAUCGUAAGUUGUGAUAAACGAGUAAACGAUAUCGUGUAGGAGGGUGCCGUGGUUGCUAAGAAGCUACUGGCGUGAGUCAGAGUGGAGCGGUCACGGGUACAGAUCUUGGUANNNNNNNCAAUUAUUCAAGUGAGAUCCUUGAAG
RNAcentral lists this ribosomal RNA (1625 nucleotides) under Geoplana quagga. RNAcentral's name for it is "partial 28S ribosomal RNA". It matches the Rfam family "Eukaryotic large subunit ribosomal RNA", at positions 62 to 1489 of the family's 3401-position model. Lineage: Eukaryota; Metazoa; Platyhelminthes; Tricladida; Geoplanidae. The record is from RNAcentral.